This 1110-nucleotide long non-coding RNA is filed under the name Calidris pugnax (ruff). RNAcentral's name for it is "lncRNA (ENSCPUG00000011287.1)". The record is from RNAcentral. Lineage: Eukaryota; Metazoa; Chordata; Aves; Charadriiformes; Scolopacidae.
GCACGUGGUGCUGACUGUAAGGAGGAGACCCACAACUUCUUUAUUUUUCCCUCUGCACGAGUGCUAAGCUAACACACCACAGAAAGUCUGAAUCACAUCUCCUUCCUCAGAAAGUUUCUCUAAUCCAUUUUCUUCCCCAAUUAAUUCAACUUUAUGACCCACAGUGAGGAAAUUCUGUGGUAGCAAACUGAGUAUGCAUCCCUGUUUACAACUUUGCUAGCAAAAUGCUGCAUGGCAGCAACAUGGAAUUCCCAGCACUCCUCUGCCCAAAAAUUACUUUCCACACCUUUUCUUCCAUCGUGCUUUAUUGAACUUCUUUUCUCUACACAGUAGGAAUAAUGCCCACCAAGCAACAACUAAAUUCUCCAUACAACUCCACUCCAUUCUCGUAUUUAAUCACCUUCAGAAAUAGUUCCUAAGCUUGUAUAUGCUACUAAGAACAUUAGUCUUUAAAUAACUUAGUGCUGUGGUGGUGUGAGAUGAUUAGGUUGGCAAGGAUUUCUGUUGUGGUGUCAUCAUAAUUUUCAUUAGUACAGUGAAUUAUGACAGCUUGUUCUCUGCUCAAAUUGAUGUGAUUACUACUCUGAAACCCUGGCACAUCUCACUAACACCUGACAUCUGGAAGAGAAAGGUGGGAGGCAAUGCAAGCUCUCAAAGUUGCGGCAGGAUGCGCCCUGAUGGUCUCCUCAUUUGUUCCAGCAGCUGCUGCAGACAAAGGGGGCAUCCAGUGCUGAAGAUAAAAAAAGUCAUGCUGCCAGCCUGCCGUGCUUCAUACCUGGAAUUUAACAAUGGUGUCACCGAGAAUAAGGCAAGUUCAGAGUGGAAGUGAAAUUUUCUUUGCAUUACAAGAGAAAUUCCUUUCCCGCAGCGUUAAGCCUCUCACCAGCAGCUCGAAAUGCAGACCGUUGGCAAUGUUUUUUCUGUGCAGACAUAUAUAUUCCAGCACUCAUGGCUGGUGAUGGAUCCUUUCACGGUGAUCUUUCUCCCUGGGGAGUAAGCAAGCCCCACGCGCUGCCGGUGCUAUGGGUGUCCGACAGGAAAACCUGAUCUGCACUUCCCCCAUUAAGCUUCUAUUUCUAGCCCUGAAAAUUAUGCUGGGUGACAUGAGGC